AGUGAACGCUGGCGGUAGGCCUAACACAUGCAAGUCGAACGGCAGCACAGUAAGAGCUUGCUCUUACGGGUGGCGAGUGGCGGACGGGUGAGGAAUACAUCGGAAUCUACUUUUUCGUGGGGGAUAACGUAGGGAAACUUACGCUAAUACCGCAUACGACCAACGGGUGAAAGCAGGGGAUCUUCGGACCUUGCGCGAUUGAAUGAGCCGAUGUCGGAUUAGCUAGUUGGCGGGGUAAAGGCCCACCAAGGCGACGAUCCGUAGCUGGUCUGAGAGGAUGAUCAGCCACAUGGGAACUGAGACACGGUCCAGACUCCUACGGGAGGCAGCAGUGGGGAAUAUUGGACAAUGGGCGCAAGCCUGAUCCAGCCAUACCGCGUGGGUGAAGAAGGCCUUCGGGUUGUAAAGCCCUUUUGUUGGGAAAGAAAAGCAGCAGGUUAAUACCCCGCUGUUCUGACGGUACCCAAAGAAUAAGCACCGGCUAACUUCGUG
This 492-nucleotide ribosomal RNA is filed under the name uncultured bacterium. RNAcentral describes it as "partial 16S ribosomal RNA". It matches the Rfam family "Bacterial small subunit ribosomal RNA", at positions 29 to 507 of the family's 1533-position model. The record is from RNAcentral.